Molecule: microRNA precursor, 172 nt
Filed under: Pelobates cultripes (western spadefoot toad)
Lineage: Eukaryota; Metazoa; Chordata; Amphibia; Anura; Pelobatidae
Source: RNAcentral
CAGCAGACACAUUCCAGCCAAUCAGCAGCAGACCCUCCCUCUCAGACCCUCCCACCUCCUGGACAGCAUCCAUUUUACAUUCAUUGUGAAGCUGCAUUCUUAGUGAGUUGUCCAGCAGGUGGGAGGGUCUGGGAGAGAGGGUCUGCUGCUGAUUGGCUGGAAUGUGUCUGCU